RNAcentral lists this ribosomal RNA (451 nucleotides) under uncultured Glomus. RNAcentral describes it as "SSU rRNA". It matches the Rfam family "Eukaryotic small subunit ribosomal RNA", at positions 569 to 1024 of the family's 1831-position model. Lineage: Eukaryota; Fungi; Glomeromycota; Glomeromycetes; Glomerales; Glomeraceae. The record is from RNAcentral.
CGCAGCCGCGGUAAUUCCAGCUCCAAUAGCGUAUAUUAAAGUUGUUGCAGUUAAAAAGCUCGUAGUUGAAUUUCGGGAUCAAGGAAUCGGUCAUGCCUUGGUAUGUACUGGUUUUAUUGGUUCUCACCUUCUAAAGAACCAUAAUGUCAUUUAUUUGAUGUUAUGGGGAAUUAGGACUGUUACCUUGAAAAAUUAGAGUGUUUAAAGCAGGCUCACGCUUGAAUACAUUAGCAUGGAAUAAUGAAAUAGGACGUUUGAUUCUAUUUUGUUGGUUUCUAGGAUCGACGUAAUGAUUAAUAGGGAUAGUUGGGGGCAUUAGUAUUCAAUUGUCAGGGGUGAAAUUCUUGGAUUUAUUGAAGACUAACUACUGCGAAAGCAUUUGCCAAGGAUAGUUUUCUAUUAAUCAAGAACGAAAGUUAGGGGAUCGAAGACGAUCAGAUACCGUCAUAGU